UAACAACGAAACUUCUUAGCGCGGCGUUAAACGUCCUGCGUGGCCUGGCGUCGGAUUUCUUUCUGGGCUCAACUCCAGUGACCUCUCCAAUGACAUCUCAUGCACACGGAGCCCGAUCACAGGGCACAGUUUUCUUGUAUCUUGUAGAGAGUGCAUUUCGCAGUCCUUUGCUCUUACCGUGCCCUGUGACUAGACUAACUCUCCUUGCGUUCUGUCUUCAUUGAUUUUUUUUUUUCUUCAUUCUUCCACAUCAGAUCCAAAUGCCUCUGUGGAGCCUUCCUUCCCAGAGUCCUCUGGCUCAGGUGAUAUCCUUUCCUCUCUCUCUGGGCAAUUUGUUGUUGACAAGGGGUUGGAUUUGCCCAUCUGCCUAGAUGCUCUUCUCCUCUGAGGACAGACACACUGUGGAUGUGCAUUGGUUUCUUCAACUGCCUAUUGGAGGAGAAUACUUAUAGGGAAUACAAUCGAUGUUUCACUGACUUUACUCCUGGCCCCUGGAGUCCAAUCCAGUGUAGCUCGUGAAUACAACUUUAAAACUGACUUGCUGAGCCAAGUACCGAAGCCAUUCAACUUUGUCUCCCAAAGAAUUUCUUUCCCCCACUUGGGAACAUCAGAUGAGCCCGGAGUGUCUGAAGGGAUGUAUAUUGCCCAUCUACCUCACAUAUGGACAUGAAGUUCUUUUUGUGUCUGAGAAGACCCCUUAAAUUUUCUUCUCAAUAAAUAGGUAAGAUUUCUACCCUUCUGCCUCUCCUGAAUGCAUGUUGCUUGGCUACACUUCAUUACUUACCGAUUUGGAUUACCUCAAGUGGGUUAAAACAAAGAAAACUCAUACUUCUCUGAAAACCCUUUGUUCAAUGGAAUGCCAUACUUGUCUGAACUUAUCCGCGGUAUUUGCCGAUGGCUACUCAAUGUCAAGGAGCAGAGAUGAGCAGAUAUGUUUGCAGAUUCUAUGGCAUACGUUCUUUAGUUACUAAAAUAUAAAGUUACCAAAACUAUGUAUCUAAAUGUAUAUAUAAUAUAUACUAGGGUAAGGCAGAGAGUAUGAGUGUGGACAUUCAUUUUGGGCCUACUUUCUGUCAGGUAUUUUUUUGAAAUUAUAUUACUACUUAAUCCUUAUAACAAUCAAUAAGUUAUCCAUUAUUUCCCUCAUUUUACAAAGGAAGGAAUGGAGACUCAGUAACCUAUUCACAAUCACUUUAAAGAUAACAGGCACUUUUUGCAUGACAACCUGUGGUCUUUUUGUGAGACAUUAGCUGCCAUGAUGCUGUAAUUGUGUGGGGGAAUUUCAGCAGUUUGAAUGCUAUCAGAAUGAAAGCUAACUUUAUGAUACAUUUAUUGGUGUUUUCACCUCUAAACAGUGAAUGAAUGGUGGUGGAGGGGAUAAUACGAAGGGAAGCAUUUUGGGGAUCACAUUGGUAGUGAUUUCCUGUAAUGUUUCUUCUGUAAAUCUUAGUUGUCACUUAGAAAAUCUGAU
Molecule: long non-coding RNA, 1471 nt
Organism: Felis catus (domestic cat)
Lineage: Eukaryota; Metazoa; Chordata; Mammalia; Carnivora; Felidae
Exons: 3
Source: RefSeq, a predicted model, not a curated record